GGUGACAGCGGAGGGAUCAUUACAAGAAGCCGAAAGGCUACUUAAAACCAUCGCGAACUCGUCCAAGUUGCUUCGGCGGCGCGGGACCCCUCGGGGGACCGCUGCGCCGCUUCCCCCCCGGGGGUCGCGGGGCGCCCGUCGGAGGUCACAAACUCUCCUGUAUUAUAGUGGAUCUCUGAGUACAAAACAAAUAAGUUAAAACUUUCAACAACGGAUCUCUUGGUUCUGGCAUCGAUGAAGAACGCAGCGAAAUGCGAUAAGUAAUGUGAAUUGCAGAAUUCAGUGAAUCAUCGAAUCUUUGAACGCACAUUGCGCCCGCUAGUACUCUAGCGGGCAUGCCUGUUCGAGCGUCAUUUCAACCCUCAAGCCCUGCUUGGUGUUGGGGCCCUACGGCUGCCGUAGGCCCUGAAAGGAAGUGGCGGGCUCGCUACAACUCCGAGCGUAGUAAUUCAUUAUCUCGCUUAGGGCGUUGUGCGGUGCUCCAGCCGUUAAAGACCAUCUUUAACCCAAGGUUGACCUCGGAUCAGGUAGGAAUACCCGCUGAACUUAAGCAU
RNAcentral lists this ribosomal RNA (554 nucleotides) under Coniochaeta sp. RNAcentral describes it as "eukaryotic LSU rRNA". The stretch from base 200 to 353 matches the Rfam family "5.8S ribosomal RNA". The record is from RNAcentral. Lineage: Eukaryota; Fungi; Ascomycota; Sordariomycetes; Coniochaetales; Coniochaetaceae.